Non-coding RNA from Zootermopsis nevadensis, 2765 nucleotides. Lineage: Eukaryota; Metazoa; Arthropoda; Insecta; Blattodea; Termopsidae. The record is from RefSeq and is a predicted model, not a curated record.
ACUGGACGUAUAAUUUUAUCUGCCCCUUAGUUAUCUCUGCCGACACGCGUUGGAUGAGUUUUUCAUCUUGGCUUUCCCAGCGUGCUCCGCGAAACCUGUUUCCUACGGACAUGUUGAGGUUUUUUUCCGGUUGUCUGUCUCCUGCUCCGGUACAGCGCGUAUGUAUGCAGUCUUUACGUGCCUUACGUCGCUUUUCCAUGGAGUGGAGUGGGGUGGUAAAAGAUCGUGCAUAUAUUUUUCUCUAGGACUGUGAGACGCACAUGCGAAAGUAUACAUUGCCAGAGCCGACAGGGGCAAGUACGUCGUGAUCUCAUCCUCGUGUGGGUGCUACGUCUUGUACAACGCGAACCCGCUUAAGUCAUACAAGGCGAGUAGCAUGAAAUUUUCCGUCCUCUGAAGUAGAGAGUUCUGAAAGUACGUUGAGAGAAAAAAAAAACUUAUAUUGCGUGCUGUUACCGAUACAACGUGACUUGGCCUACGUCAGAGAAGACGAGAUGCCUGAAAUGACGUUGCAACACUGAACUAAACUGGCUUUCUUGUUUGUUUCAGGCAGUUUGUACAACCUCUCGACAUUCGUGUGGGUUUUGAACGCACAUCAAGGGUUGGCCGUGCACGUCAAAUGCCAACCUCCUGAAGGCGACCUCUUGUCCGUUGAGUCCAGAGGAGCCAGGGAACUCGUGGAGCCGCGGCCAUUGCAUCCUGGCCCUGCUUACGUCAUACAACACGAGAUGCCCGAAACAAAGGCAUGGCUGUGAGCUGCAGACUCCAGUCAGUGGUAACAACCACGUCACACUCGUUGAAGACUUGAGGUUUUUUCGCAGCGUUGAGGAUAAUGGCAGCUUACAUCGUGAGGUCGCUUACGCCAUGCAACACGACAAGCUGAAAAUUAUGUUGCGAACUAAGGACUCCGGCGAGUACAAUGAGAAAUUAUCAGAUAAUGCCCACUGAUCGAGUUUCAGACCGUACAUACAGAAGCGACGUAAUUAUAAAUUCUUGUCAUUAUGUCUGCUUUGAGGUGAUUGGUACGGCCUCUUACAUUCGCCUGUCACGGUGAUUAUGAUGUCAUCAUUAUUCGUCAUCACCGUCGUGAACCCUCUGAACCUGAAUCGAGCUUUGCAGGCGGAAGCAAGAUUUUUCUACAGGAUGCUGGGAUCCACGUCUCGCUGUUGGACGCUGCUCUGUGACGUCUCUGGCACGAGACGUCUGAAAUGAUGAGGCACCAUUGAGUACGGUGAUAUAUUAUUUCAAGGUUGAUUAAAAAUUAUAAUGACUUUGAUAGUGUUCUGUGGGAAAUUAAAAAUUAGUAUGUCUCGACGGCGAUGUAGUGUCUGAGUAAAACGUGGUCUGCGUGGAUGUGAGAGGAAUGGGAUUUUGCGAAGGUACCGAUAUCGUCGAAAUGAAUCUUUCGUGAGUUGGAAACAGAAAGGAAAAAGUUACAGAUCAUUUGAGAAGUUUUGAAGAGAAAGAUUGGAAAAUGAGAAAUUGCUGACAAACGCAGAGACGUUACGUGUCCGGUGAUAGACACGCGAACUUGUAGCAUCAGAUAAAUUUCUUCCGUCUCUCUUGUUGUAAACAUAUACGGUAGUCAUCGUGUAGCUGACAGUCGUUUAACUGGUCGAAGCGUUUCUCUUCGUGUAUGAAAACAGAAAUUUUAUUACAGAGUUUACAAAAACUGACUGGUCCAAAUUCUGAAGCAGAGGAACGUAGCCCGCGUCCUUACUUCAUUUCUCGUGAAUGAAUUUCGAAAGGAAAUGCUGUGGACCUUCAAAAUUUGGUGUUAGGUGGACCGAAUAUUGCGUAUGGAGUACGUAGAAGUCCGCACUGAUUUGGAUUAGACGUCUGCCAGGGACGCGACUGAGUAGGCGUCGUUCACGUGGUGAUGGAAUUCGAGCUGCUAGAAUGUGUAGUGCUGUAUAGAGCAGAGGUUCCUAAAGUGUGGGGCUGUUGUUUGUAUGAAAAUCUUUUUUAACGAAAUAUGGAGAAACAUUUUGAACAUCCUUCGCUUGAUCGAGGCAUUUCAGAAGUGGCAGCCAUCAAAACAAAGUAUUGUUCUACGAUGAACCUGCGUUGAACAUGAAUUUUAAACCAGUGACUUGUUUUCCAGAAUAUGGUGUUAUGUGGUAUGCUUGUAUCCUGCAGCCGUCAUGUACCGCCAGGUACUUCCAGAUGCUACUUACAUCAUCCAACAGGAUAUGAUGUGGCAGAACUGAAUUCGAGACUCGUGGGGAAAGGCAUCGGCGUCGGAUUUUAGCUUUUCACGUGGUUCCGAAACUCUGAGGAUGAUCUUGAUCGCAUUUUUACCCGUGAGGUUGUGUCCUGUCGCGUCUACACGCUCCGGGGAACCCGGAGUUCCGCAGUCGCUUCCACCCGGACGCCGCACUCUCGUCGUGUUUUAUUGACAACUUUACGUCUGUAUCCGGAAUAUUUCGUUUCUACCGUCGUUGCUGGUGAGUGAAACGAAUAAGUUUUCUUUUAAAUUAACACAUGACUAACGUCUGGGGUGCAGGGGUUAAACUUCCAAUGGUCCUUAAUUGUGAGUUUCCAAUUAAUGUUUUGCUUGUUUCCAUCCCUUGAGCAAAAUGAAUUCAGAUUCUUUCUGUUUACUCUUUUUCUUCUUUCUUUUCUUCUAUUUCUCCUCCUUCCUACCCUCAGAGGAUAGACGGGUUAGUGUAGAGUUGUAGCUGCAUGCAUUCUUAACCACUAACAACAUCAUCAACCCUGCAGUCCAGCCGCUGGUCUGCAACGGAAUAUCAGCGGAAUCCAGC